Molecule: ribosomal RNA, 494 nt
Filed under: uncultured bacterium
Lineage: Bacteria
Description: partial 16S ribosomal RNA
Rfam family: Bacterial small subunit ribosomal RNA
Source: RNAcentral
GACGAACGCUGGCGGCGUGCUUAACACAUGCAAGUCGAACGGUGAAGCGCCUUCCUUUUUGGUGGGUGUGGAUGAGUGGCGAACGGGUGAGUAACACGUGAGUAACCUGCCCCCUUCUUCUGGAUAACCGCAUGAAAGUGUGGCUAAUACGGGAUAUUCUGGGUCUGUCGCAUGAUGGGUCUGGGAAAGAUAUUGUUUCGGUGGGGGAUGGGCUCGCGGCCUAUCAGCUUGUUGGUGGGGUGAUGGCCUACCAAGGCGGUGACGGGUAGCCGGCCCGAGAGGGUGGACGGUCACACUGGGACUGAGACACGGCCCAGACUCCUACGGGAGGCAGCAGUGGGGAAUAGUGCACAAUGGGCGAAAGCCUGAUGCAGCGACGCCGCGGGAGGGAUGGAGGCCUUCGGGUUGUGAACCUCUUUCGCCAGUGAAGCAGGCCUGCCUCGUUUGUGGGUGGGUUGACGGUAGCUGGAUAAGAAGCGCCGGCUAACUACGUG